Molecule: ribosomal RNA, 481 nt
Filed under: uncultured bacterium
Lineage: Bacteria
Description: bacterial SSU rRNA
Rfam family: Bacterial small subunit ribosomal RNA
Source: RNAcentral
AUUGAACGCUGGCGGCAUGCCUUACACAUGCAAGUCGAACGGCAGCACGGGAGCAAUCCUGGUGGCGAGUGGCGAACGGGUGAGUAAUAUAUCGGAACGUGCCCAGUCGUGGGGGAUAACGCAGCGAAAGCUGUGCUAAUACCGCAUACGAUCUACGGAUGAAAGCGGGGGAUCGCAAGACCUCGCGCGAUUGGAGCGGCCGAUAUCAGAUUAGCUAGUUGGUGGGGUAAAGCCCACCAAGGCGACGAUCUGUAGCUGGUCUGAGAGGACGACCAGCCACACUGGAACUGAGACACGGUCCAGACUCCUACGGGAGGCAGCAGUGGGGAAUUUUGGACAAUGGGCGCAAGCCUGAUCCAGCAAUGCCGCGUGCAGGAUGAAGGCCUUCGGGUUGUAACUGCUUUUGUACGGAGCGAAACGGCUCUCUUUAAUACAGGGGGCUAAUGACGGUACCGUAAGAAUAAGCACCGGCUAACUACGU